UACGUAGGGGGCAAGCGUUGUCCGGAUUUAUUGGGCGUAAAGAGCGUGUAGGCGGUUAGGUAGGUCCGUUGUGAAAACUCGAGGCUCAACCUCGAGACGCCGAUGGAAACCAUCUAACUAGAGUCCGGAAGAGGAGAGUGGAAUUCCUGGUGUAGCGGUGAAAUGCGCAGAUAUCAGGAAGAACACCCGUGGCUAAGGCGGCUCUCUAGUACGGUACUGACGCUGAGACGCGAAAGCGCGGGAGCGAACAGG
Molecule: ribosomal RNA, 252 nt
Filed under: uncultured bacterium
Lineage: Bacteria
Description: partial 16S ribosomal RNA
Rfam family: Bacterial small subunit ribosomal RNA
Source: RNAcentral